This 1356-nucleotide long non-coding RNA is filed under the name Marmota monax (woodchuck). Lineage: Eukaryota; Metazoa; Chordata; Mammalia; Rodentia; Sciuridae. The record is from RNAcentral.
CUGACUUACUGGACCUCCCACACCGAGUGGCCGGGCUGUGCCGCCUCGGUCUCUGUUUUCCUGACAACAGUGUCACAGCCAGCACAGAGAGGGUGCUUCCAACCGAGGCCCUGCUGAGACCCUCUUGGACUCAGAGCUUUCUUGCCCACCUGGACCCUGGCUUUUCCAUCAUCGGAUUCUUCACUUCUGUUCAUGUACCGGCGAGUCCCGGGGCCCUGAGUGUGGCCCUGGUGUCAUCUGUGCCUUCUGCUACCUAACUGCUAAGAAAACCUCAUUUAAAUUAUUUUAAAAACAAACAUGGCAAGAAGAUGUUGAGCCUUUAAAAAGUGCGGAUGUGACCGCCCACAGCUCGAGGUGCGGCUUCAGGUCCCUCGCUUCGCUCUCCAGACUGUGGAUUCACUGGGGGAUGAAGGACCUGGAUGAGACACCAGCUCUGUGUCCUCCACGUCCUCGCGGCUUCCUUUCUAGUUCACAAGAGUCGGCUAUGAACACUGUGAAUGCAAAUGGAAUUCCAUAAUGAUCUUUAUGCAGUUCCUGUCAGACAUCGACCGUUACACAACGUAAUACUCCUGUCCAGUGUUUGGGUGAAGAUCCUCAAGAUCAUAAAAUGAUUUCCCUGAAGAGGAAUGUUUUCCGAUUGGAGAGACCAUGCCAUGCUAUAAGGCCAAGCAUGUGCUCGCGGAACCAGGAGGCUCAGAGUACAUCUACAGGAAAACCGGGAAGCCACUGGACUCUGAGAUUACCAGGCCAUGUAGCAAGAGCCCAAGGAUUUAACAGGAAAAAUGGCAAGGAAUUCCACUCCUUCAAAGAUGGUCAUUGCAACUCUGCUCUGUGCUGUGUCAUCAAGCUCAGCCCAGAACAUUGAAGACACAAAGAAUACAAAGAAUAAAAAACGUGGAAGCUCAAGGCUGCCACCAGUAACUGGUGUGUGUGUGUGUGUGUGUGUGUGUGUAGGGAGUUCUAGAAACUUGGUAUUUUUAUGCACGCACCUUUCUGUAAGUUUAAAAGAUGGUGGACCCACAAUUAAGCCGUUGCUUUGCCCAUCCUAGGUUACUAACAUAAGCCCUUUCCAUGUUGUAGCACAGUGCUGAUAGUUAUCAUUCUACUCUGCCAGAAUUUAAUUAUUCUUUGCUCUGUGAUUGAUUGUUAAGGUUUUCCAUAUUCCCUUUGUUUUAUUACAAAUAACACUUCAAUGAAAAUCUCUGUGAACAGAAAUUCUAUUUGUUUUUAGAUUAUUUCCUUUGAGUAAAUCUUCCCAAAUACUAAACUGUUGGAGUUGUAUUUUCUCUCUAACUACUUAUCGGUUUUAGGCAAUAUUGAUGAACUCUUCUCCAUAGAAGACAAAAUUGGUUAUCU